CGAGUCCGAGUCUCCACGGAGACGAAGUGGCGGUCAUCCAGCUUCCUAGAAAAGCUCUAACCACGUUAAUCUUUAGUUGCCUGUACCCGAAACCGACACAGGUAGGGGGGUAGAGAAUACCAAGGGGCGCGAGAUAACUCUCUCUAAGGAACUCGGCAAAAUGACCCCGUAACUUCGGGAGAAGGGGUACCACUGAGAAGUGGUCGCAGUGAAGAGGCCCAGGCGACUGUUUACCAAAAACACAGGUCUCCGCCAAGUCGCAAGACGAAGUAUGGGGGCUGACGCCUGCCCAGUGCCGGAAGGUUAAGGAAGUGGGUUAGGGAUUCGUCCCGAAGCUGACGACUGAAGCCCCGGUGAACGGCGGCCGUAACUAUAACGGUCCUAAGGUAGCGAAAUUCCUUGUCGGGUAAGUUCCGACCCGCACGAAAGGCGUAACGAUCUGGGCGCUGUCUCGGAGAGAGGCUCGGCGAAAUAGGAUUGUCUGUGAAGAUACGGACUACCUGCACCUGGACAGAAAGACCCUAUGAAGCUUUACUGUAGCUUGGAAUUGGGUUCGGGCUUGGUUUGCGCAGGAUAGGUGGGAGGCGAAGAAGAUUUGCUUGUGGGUGAAUCUGAGCCAACGGUGAGAUACCACUCUAACCAGGCUAGAAUUCUAACUUCAACCCGUCAACCGGGGGAAGGACAGUUUCAGGUGGGCAGUUUGACUGGGGCGGUCGCCUCCUAAAAGAUAACGGAGGCGCACAAAGGUUCCCUCAGGCUGGUUGGAAAUCAGCCAACGAGUGCAAAGGCAGAAGGGAGCUUGACUGCGAGACCUACAAGUCAAGCAGGGUGGAAACACGGUCUUAGUGAUCCGACGGCACCGAGUGGAAGGGCCGUCGCUCAACGGAUAAAAGUUACUCUAGGAUAACAGGCUGAUCUCCCCCAAGAGUUCACAUCGACGGGGAGGUUUGGCACCUCGAUGUCGGCUCAUCGCAACCUGGGGCGGAAGUACGUCCCAAGGGUUGGGCUGUUCGCCCAUUAAAGCGGUACGUGAGCUGGGUUCAGUACGUCGUGAGACAGUUCGGUCCAUAUCCGGUGUAGGCGCAAGAACAUUGAGAGGAGUCUUCCUUAGUACGAGAGGACCGGGAAGAACGCACCGCUGGUGUACCUGUUAUCGUGCCAACGGUAAACGCAGGGUAGCCAAGUGCGGAGUGGAUAACCGCUGAAAGCAUCUAAGUGGGAAGCCCACCUCAAGAUGAGUGUUCUCAUGGAGUAAUCCAGUAAGGUCACGGGAAGACGACCCGUUGAUAGGCGGUAGGUGGAAGUUCAGCAAUGGAUGAAGCCGAGCCGUACUAACAGACCGUGGGCUUGACC
This 1353-nucleotide ribosomal RNA is filed under the name metagenome. RNAcentral's name for it is "bacterial LSU rRNA". It matches the Rfam family "Bacterial large subunit ribosomal RNA", at positions 1564 to 2925 of the family's 2925-position model. The record is from RNAcentral.